This 1800-nucleotide long non-coding RNA is filed under the name Homo sapiens (human). Its description in RNAcentral is "HSALNT0305940". Lineage: Eukaryota; Metazoa; Chordata; Mammalia; Primates; Hominidae. The record is from RNAcentral.
CGGGGUGGCUGCCUGUUACUCAGCAAGAAAGCGAACACUGGCUUGCUGGCUCAGCACUUAACCUGAGAUGAGGAUGUCCUAACAGCCCUUUUUCUCUAAGGGGUCCCUGGUUCCCUUCACGCCCCCACCCCCAGCCUCAGCUCUGUCUGGGUGGAACGAAUGUCUGCUAAUGAACUAAACAAACAGGUCUCUUAAUCUUAUCAUGGAGCUGACCCAGAGACUGGCACAGAUAUCCAAAGUAUCAUAAUUGGCAGGUCAGAAUUAAAACUACAUACAUCAUGGUGACUUUAUAGCUGAGGCAAAGUGGAGCUCAAGUGUUACUUUCCCAGUAAGCAAAUCAUAAUGAAGUAUCAUGCUGGUGACUAAUUUAACUAACAUUGUCCAGGAAAUUGCUGUUGUCCAGGAAGAGAAGAGUUGAGCCGAGUGUCAACUACUAGGCUUCUGGCACCAUCCUGCACAAGAAAUUGGAGCAUAAGGGACAUUUCCACAUUCUAACUUUACAUGAAGACUCAGGACUUUGAAAGCCCAUGAGAAAGUUUUCAUAAGGAUUUAUCCACAAUUUCUUCUUUGAUUUGCUCAGAUGUGAAGCAGGAAACCUUCCAGACAUCCUGAACCUCUGAACUUUUUGUGGAUUGCCCAUCAACACAGGCAAACAUUCAUGAAGCAAUUCAAAAAUCUCUUCUCACUGCAUUAUAAGCAUGUCCUUACGUUAUUCAUAUAUCAAGAGCAUGCCCAUUCCCAACCCACAAUGGAAUGUGAGCCUAAUUACAUGUUCCUUUGGAAUAAGAUCUCACCAGCCCAGGAGUGUCAGAAACCCUCUAUCAUAUAUACGUAUCUUGUUUCCAAAAUGAUCUUCCCAAGCCACCCUAACAGGCCCCCUUCAGAAUGCUUCCUGCUGACAAGUGAAUCUGCUUUUUGCCUUUCACCCAAUCUCAGCUCAUGCUUUCUCUGUGAAAAUAUCACAGACCACAUCUGACAGUGGUCCAGCUAAUUAAUGUACUCCAAUGUCUAGCAAGCAUUUGACAGGAAAAAUAAUCUAUACAGUAUUUAUUGCAAAAUCUUCACCAAUGUGACAAAGAUGAAUGUAAACUUUACAUAAUCAUUUUUCAUUUGUUAUCCAAAGUUGAAAGUGAUUUUCAAAUGCUAACUUUAAAAUUAUGAUGAGGAAGAUAACAGCUCUGCUUUAAAACUGCUUGGCAAUGGAAUUUCUAUAGUAUAAUGGUUUAGCAAUGAGCUAGAAAAAUAAACUCUCUUGCUAAUGUAGUAAAUGGGCCAGAAAUAAACUUCUCAGGGAUUUGGGUGGUGGGGUGGGGUGAGGGAGGGGCACACAGAGGGGAUAGUGGAAUUGGAUUUCUGGAAUAAAUGAUCUGAAACCCUUAGCACACUAUAUCUUCAAAAAGCAAUGUCUUCCUUUAUAUAAUGCACGUAUCACCAUCACGAUACGAGAGCAACUCGAAGAAUCUUAACGUAUACCACGGUAAACACCUACGGCACCCAACUCAGUCUACAGCAGGACACCCAAAAGUUAAAUUCACUUUGGCUGUGGCUGUGCUCCAGGUACAUAUUUUCUCAUGAGCUUUGUUUCUUUGUUCUAGAACCAUCCUUCCCAAUAUUCCUUAACAUUGAAAUUAUACAUGUUAAAUUAAUUAUUGUUCAUUUAACUGAUGAGCUGAAACUCACGUCCUUCCUUUUGAAAGCUAAAGUAAUCUUCUAAUAAAAGGUCAGGAAUUAUCAAAUUUACUUGUAAUUAUUACUAAUUCUUCUGUGACUUCUUUUUUUUUUUUUUGAGGUGGAGUCUUG